Molecule: ribosomal RNA, 253 nt
Filed under: uncultured bacterium
Lineage: Bacteria
Description: partial 16S ribosomal RNA
Rfam family: Bacterial small subunit ribosomal RNA
Source: RNAcentral
UACAGAGGUCCCAAGCGUUGUUCGGAUUCAUUGGGCGUAAAGGGUGCGUAGGCGGCGCGGCAAGUCGGGUGUGAAAUCUCGGAGCUUAACUCCGAAACUGCAUUCGAUACUGCCGUGCUUGAGGACUGGAGAGGAGACUGGAAUUUACGGUGUAGCGGUGAAAUGCGUAGAUAUCAGGAGGAACACCGGUGGCGAAGGCGAGGCUCUGGGCCGUAACUGACGCUGAGGAGCGAAAGCGUGGGGAGCAAACAGG